GGUUAAGCGACUAAGCGUACACGGUGGAUGCCCUGGCAGUCAGAGGCGAUGAAGGACGUGCUAAUCUGCGAUAAGCGUCGGUAAGGUGAUAUGAACCGUUAUAACCGGCGAUUUCCGAAUGGGGAAACCCAGUGUGUUUCGACACACUAUCAUUAACUGAAUCCAUAGGUUAAUGAGGCGAACCGGGGGAACUGAAACAUCUAAGUACCCCGAGGAAAAGAAAUCAACCGAGAUUCCCCCAGUAGCGGCGAGCGAACGGGGAGCAGCCCAGAGCCUGAAUCAGUGUGUGUGUUAGUGGAAGCGUCUGGAAAGGCGCGCGAUACAGGGUGACAGCCCCGUACACAAAAAUGCACAUGCUGUGAGCUCGAUGAGUAGGGCGGGACACGUGGUAUCCUGUCUGAAUAUGGGGGGACCAUCCUCCAAGGCUAAAUACUCCUGACUGACCGAUAGUGAACCAGUACCGUGAGGGAAAGGCGAAAAGAACCCCGGCGAGGGGAGUGAAAAAGAACCUGAAACCGUGUACGUACAAGCAGUGGGAGCACGCUUAGGCGUGUGACUGCGUACCUUUUGUAUAAUGGGUCAGCGACUUAUAUUCUGUAGCAAGGUUAACCGAAUAGGGGAGCCGAAGGGAAACCGAGUCUUAACUGGGCGUUAAGUUGCAGGGUAUAGACCCGAAACCCGGUGAUCUAGCCAUGGGCAGGUUGAAGGUUGGGUAACACUAACUGGAGGACCGAACCGACUAAUGUUGAAAAAUUAGCGGAUGACUUGUGGCUGGGGGUGAAAGGCCAAUCAAACCGGGAGAUAGCUGGUUCUCCCCGAAAGCUAUUUAGGUAGCGCCUCGUGAAUUCAUCUCCGGGGGUAGAGCACUGUUUCGGCAAGGGGGUCAUCCCGACUUACCAACCCGAUGCAAACUGCGAAUACCGGAGAAUGUUAUCACGGGAGACACACGGCGGGUGCUAACGUCCGUCGUGAAGAGGGAAACAACCCAGACCGCCAGCUAAGGUCCCAAAGUCAUGGUUAAGUGGGAAACGAUGUGGGAAGGCCCAGACAGCCAGGAUGUUGGCUUAGAAGCAGCCAUCAUUUAAAGAAAGCGUAAUAGCUCACUGGUCGAGUCGGCCUGCGCGGAAGAUGUAACGGGGCUAAACCAUGCACCGAAGCUGCGGCAGCGACGCUUAUGCGUUGUUGGGUAGGGGAGCGUUCUGUAAGCCUGUGAAGGUGUGCUGUGAGGCAUGCUGGAGGUAUCAGAAGUGCGAAUGCUGACAUAAGUAACGAUAAAGCGGGUGAAAAGCCCGCUCGCCGGAAGACCAAGGGUUCCUGUCCAACGUUAAUCGGGGCAGGGUGAGUCGACCCCUAAGGCGAGGCCGAAAGGCGUAGUCGAUGGGAAACAGGUUAAUAUUCCUGUACUUGGUGUUACUGCGAAGGGGGGACGGAGAAGGCUAUGUUGGCCGGGCGACGGUUGUCCCGGUUUAAGCGUGUAGGCUGGUUUUCCAGGCAAAUCCGGAAAAUCAAGGCUGAGGCGUGAUGACGAGGCACUACGGUGCUGAAGCAACAAAUGCCCUGCUUCCAGGAAAAGCCUCUAAGCAUCAGGUAACAUCAAAUCGUACCCCAAACCGACACAGGUGGUCAGGUAGAGAAUACCAAGGCGCUUGAGAGAACUCGGGUGAAGGAACUAGGCAAAAUGGUGCCGUAACUUCGGGAGAAGGCACGCUGAUAUGUAGGUGANNNNNNNNNNNNNUGGAGCUGAAAUCAGUCGAAGAUACCAGCUGGCUGCAACUGUUUAUUAAAAACACAGCACUGUGCAAACACGAAAGUGGACGUAUACGGUGUGACGCCUGCCCGGUGCCGGAAGGUUAAUUGAUGGGGUUAGCGCAAGCGAAGCUCUUGAUCGAAGCCCCGGUAAACGGCGGCCGUAACUAUAACGGUCCUAAGGUAGCGAAAUUCCUUGUCGGGUAAGUUCCGACCUGCACGAAUGGCGUAAUGAUGGCCAGGCUGUCUCCACCCGAGACUCAGUGAAAUUGAACUCGCUGUGAAGAUGCAGUGUACCCGCGGCAAGACGGAAAGACCCCGUGAACCUUUACUAUAGCUUGACACUGAACAUUGAGCCUUGAUGUGUAGGAUAGGUGGGAGGCUUUGAAGUGUGGACGCCAGUCUGCAUGGAGCCGACCUUGAAAUACCACCCUUUAAUGUUUGAUGUUCUAACGUUGACCCGUAAUCCGGGUUGCGGACAGUGUCUGGUGGGUAGUUUGACUGGGGCGGUCUCCUCCUAAAGAGUAACGGAGGAGCACGAAGGUUGGCUAAUCCUGGUCGGACAUCAGGAGGUUAGUGCAAUGGCAUAAGCCAGCUUGACUGCGAGCGUGACGGCGCGAGCAGGUGCGAAAGCAGGUCAUAGUGAUCCGGUGGUUCUGAAUGGAAGGGCCAUCGCUCAACGGAUAAAAGGUACUCCGGGGAUAACAGGCUGAUACCGCCCAAGAGUUCAUAUCGACGGCGGUGUUUGGCACCUCGAUGUCGGCUCAUCACAUCCUGGGGCUGAAGUAGGUCCCAAGGGUAUGGCUGUUCGCCAUUUAAAGUGGUACGCGAGCUGGGUUUAGAACGUCGUGAGACAGUUCGGUCCCUAUCUGCCGUGGGCGCUGGAGAACUGAGGGGGGCUGCUCCUAGUACGAGAGGACCGGAGUGGACGCAUCACUGGUGUUCGGGUUGUCAUGCCAAUGGCACUGCCCGGUAGCUAAAUGCGGAAGAGAUAAGUGCUGAAAGCAUCUAAGCACGAAACUUGCCCCGAGAUGAGUUCUCCCUGACCCUUUAAGGGUCCUGAAGGAACGUUGAAGACGACGACGUUGAUAGGCCGGGUGUGUAAGCGCAGCGAUGCGUUGAGCUAACCGGUACUAAUGAACCGUGAGGCUUAACCUU
RNAcentral lists this ribosomal RNA (2904 nucleotides) under Escherichia coli. RNAcentral's name for it is "23S ribosomal RNA". It matches the Rfam family "Bacterial large subunit ribosomal RNA". The record is from RNAcentral. Lineage: Bacteria; Pseudomonadati; Pseudomonadota; Gammaproteobacteria; Enterobacterales; Enterobacteriaceae.